AGCUAUAUAUAGUAGAGUACGUGUGGUGUGUAGCCAAGCUCAAGCUCAUUCCCAGAUUAAGGGCAUCUCCAACGCUUGUAGGUGCGUUGACGAGCACCUACGCGACGGUUAGUUGCCUUCACGAGAAGCCAAUUUUGUGUAUCCUGCUCGCCCAUACAUCUCAUGAGUGAAGAAUGAAAUGCAGAAAAACAAUAGAUUUAUUCAAAGUCUUCCCAAGAAUCUAAUAGAAUACACCAAAUCGAUCUCUGAGUAUCUCAGCUCACUACGUGUUCAAAGUUAAUUUACAGAAAUACAUGUAUAUAAAACACUCUUCUAAAAAAUAAAAAGAAAAAAAAAUCUUGCACGGUACACCAAAACUUCACAGUAGCGAUGAGGUCAACUUUUUCGACAAAGCGUGAAUUUUAUUGGCACAUAAUGAAGCAUCUAGAUGAUACAGAACAAAAUGAGCAUACACCCGGUCUCUGCGUAGUUAGGAUGCACACACAGAAACUCCGGCAAAUAGCAAAGUCAUAUAAAACUAAAGUUAUCCGUCGGCGAGGAAAAAAAACCGAAGCGAUUAGAUCUGCAAUCGGCAAACUACUAUAACACCAUAUCUAAAUCAA
Triticum dicoccoides is the source of this 602-nucleotide long non-coding RNA. RefSeq lists it as uncharacterized. The transcript has 2 exons. The record is from RefSeq and is a predicted model, not a curated record. Lineage: Eukaryota; Viridiplantae; Streptophyta; Magnoliopsida; Poales; Poaceae.